CGAAUAGAGCGAAUCACCGUCGAGAUCGUAGAGGCAUCGCAGUACCAAAUCUGAGCCGCGUUGUACGUGACUGGGUACGACCAUCUGCGUGAUGACCAGAGCGUCACCUGCGUUCAACAGCCACACCAUGUUUUAGCACAUUCCGAAUUUUAUCGGUGCUGAACAACUUGGUCAUGGGUAAACCGAACAGGGCAUUUCGGUAAAUCAUUUUUUAGGCCAGGGCACUACAACUAGACAUAAUAGGGACAGGUCUAUCCACUCCACAUAGGAAUGGUUAGAAUUGAUUGAAAGGACAAAAUUUAAAAAAAACCGAAAAUGCUGUACAAAAGGCUUGUCUAAAAAGCAACGGAAUAAGGUAAAAGGAUUCAAUUCUUUUUCUCCCAAUCAGGACAUGCCAUUUUUUGGAUAAAAAUUGGCGAUCGAUGGAUUCUUUGACUUUUAUUUUGUAGUGACUUAUUAAAAUUUCUAAAGGGCUAUCGAAGGAAAGUUGCUCAAAGAACGAAAAGGAUGACAGUUGCGAGAAAAUGAAAUCCACAGAAUUCGAAACCUGAAUGAUUGAAAAAGAUAUCCCCGAAAAAAAAAAGAGGGUGCAAAAGAAAUGCGACAGAACAUCGCCUCCCAAAAGUUAUAGACAUGCGUGAUUGAAAUGUUGAACUUACAUUUGUAGCUGACGUAGAGAAUGACGGAAGAGACUACGAUGAAGACGGACGAAGGGCUUGAGAUUUUCUUCUUCAUUUUUUGUUAUGUGUGUGUUAAACUUUGAUACUUUUUCACUUGUGCACAAUAUGAGUUUUCUUUUUCUUU
This is a long non-coding RNA of Daphnia magna, 804 nucleotides long. RefSeq lists it as uncharacterized. The transcript has 2 exons. NCBI's taxonomy places the organism in Eukaryota, Metazoa, Arthropoda, Branchiopoda, Diplostraca, Daphniidae. The record is from RefSeq and is a predicted model, not a curated record.